CCUACGGGAGGCAGCAGUAGGGAAUCUUUGUCAAUGGGCGAAAGCCUGAUGGAGCAACGCCGCGUGCAGGAUGAAGGCCCUCGGGUUGUAAACUGCUUUUUUACGCGGGCAAUAUGAUGGUACCUUAUGAGUAAGGAUCGGCUAACUACGUGCCAGCAGCCGCAGUCAUACGUAGGAUCCGAGCAUUAUCCGGAGUGACUGGGGGUGAAGCGUUGCGUAGGUGGCAUAAUAAGUAGCUAGGGAAAUCUGGUGGCUCAGCCAUUCGGACUAUUAGCGAAACUGUUACGCUCGAGACCGGUAGAGGUAAGUGGAAUGUGUAGUGUAGGGGUGAAAUGCGUAGAUAUUAGGAAGAACACCGAUGGCGGAGGCAGGUUGCUGGGACGGUUCUGACACUGAGGCACGAAAGCGUAGGGAGCAAACAGGAUUAGAUACCCCAGUAGUC
RNAcentral lists this ribosomal RNA (442 nucleotides) under uncultured bacterium. RNAcentral's name for it is "partial 16S ribosomal RNA". It matches the Rfam family "Bacterial small subunit ribosomal RNA", at positions 338 to 795 of the family's 1533-position model. The record is from RNAcentral.